RNAcentral lists this ribosomal RNA (243 nucleotides) under uncultured bacterium. Its description in RNAcentral is "partial 16S ribosomal RNA". It matches the Rfam family "Bacterial small subunit ribosomal RNA", at positions 1259 to 1500 of the family's 1533-position model. The record is from RNAcentral.
GAUAUCAAGCAAAACUGAAAAAAAGACGGUCUCAGUUCGGAUUGAAGGCUGAAAUUCGCCUUCAUGAAGUCGGAAUUGCUAGUAAUGGCAGGUCAGCAUACUGCCGUGAAUACGUUCCCGGGCCUUGUACACACCGCCCGUCACACCAUGAGAGUUGGAGAUACCCGAAGCCUAUGAGCUAACUUUUAGAGGCAGUAGUCGAAGGUAGAAUCAAUGAUUGGGGUGAAGUCGUAACAAGGUAUC